RNAcentral lists this ribosomal RNA (491 nucleotides) under uncultured Lachnospiraceae bacterium. RNAcentral's name for it is "bacterial SSU rRNA". It matches the Rfam family "Bacterial small subunit ribosomal RNA", at positions 27 to 507 of the family's 1533-position model. Lineage: Bacteria; Bacillati; Bacillota; Clostridia; Lachnospirales; Lachnospiraceae. The record is from RNAcentral.
UCAGGAGUGAACGCUGGCGGCGUGGCCUAACACAUGGCAAGUCGACGAACGCGCCGUGCGGCGGACCCUCCCGGGGGAAAGGCCGCGGGGGACGUGAGUGGCGGACGGGUGAGCAACGCGUGGGCGAACCUGCCCUACCGGGGGCGAACAGCCGAAACGGCUGCUAAUACCGCAUAUUCCCGCGGGGUCGCGAUGGCCCUGCGGGGAAAGGCUCCGGCAGUACGGGAUGGGCCCGCGUCUGAUUAGCUUGUUGGCGGGGUAACGGCCCACCAAGGCUGCGAUCAGUAGCCGGCCUGAGAGGGCGGCCGGCCACAUUGGGACUGAGACACGGCCCAGACUCCUGCGGGAGGCAGCAGUGGGGGAUAUUGCACAAUGGGGGGAACCCUGAUGCAGCGACGCCGCGUGAACGAAGAAAUAUUUCGGCAUGUAAAGUUCUAUCAGCAGGGAAGAAAAUGACAGUACCUGACCAAGAAGCCCCGGCUAACUACGUG